RNAcentral lists this long non-coding RNA (371 nucleotides) under Gossypium raimondii (Peruvian cotton). RNAcentral's name for it is "long non-coding RNA (GRAI_LNC010508)". Lineage: Eukaryota; Viridiplantae; Streptophyta; Magnoliopsida; Malvales; Malvaceae. The record is from RNAcentral.
UCUAUUGGUCUAGUGGAUAAGUGGAGUGUUGGUGUGAAGGAGGUCCUAUUUUUGAAUCUUGAUGUGGGCAUUAUUUUUGCUCGUGCGUCCAGGAGAGUUUGAGAUGGACUAAAAAUCUGAGUAGUGUAUUUAGUGGGGAGUUUGAUGGAGAGAAAUAAGGGAUUGAGGUGGUUAUCAAAUAUUUUGUUCAUCUUUUUUUUCUUUCUUUUUACUGUCCCUAAAAUCCCUCCACCCUCUUACCGUUUUUCUCUUCAUUGUUGUUGAAUUUCUGCUCUGCCUCGUUUCGCUUAACGUUUGUCUGCGAUCAUUCGGUAAGUUUUUGACAAGUGAUUUGUCUCCGUUUGUUAAAUUUCUUCUGAAGUGUUUUGUUU